UCUUUGUCCUGUCUGUCUCCUCUGUCCCGUCUGUCUCUGUCCUGUCUCAAACUGAAAGACUGUCGGGGGGAAAAGGGAUCCUUGUUUAAACUGGGUUGGUCUUUUCUCUCCCUGUUUAUCCAAUCAGGGCUGUGGGACAUUUCAGACUGAAACUGAGGACGAGAUAAAGCUGUCAUCCUCUCAGAACAUUCACACAUACCUCAAAACGUCCGUCUUCAGAACAUUCACACAUACCUCAAAACGUCCAUCUUUGUCUUUUUGUUGUCCAAUGGGCAGGCCAACUUUCAAUAUAGACUGGAAGGACAGUGCAGGGUCCUGGUUCUCUCGAUCUUCUCUGCUACUUCUGUUACAGCUAUGUAUCUUGAUCAAAAUGGCCGUCUUCUAUCCAGACCCAGACACACUGGUGGUUGUGGAGAGGGAGGAUUUGAUGUCAGAGGUUCCUGAUGUAAACAUGGUGGUUGUGGAGAGGGAGGAUAUGAUGUCAGAGGUUCCUGAUGUACACAUGGUGGUUGUGGAGAGCGAGGAUAUGAUGUCAGAGGUUCCUGAUGUAAACAUGGUGGUUGUGGAGAGGGAGGAUAUGAUGUCAGAGGUUCCUGAUGUACACAUGGUGGUUGUGGAGAGGGAGGAUAUGAUGUCAGAGGUUCCUGAUGUACACAUGGUGGUUGUGGAGAGGGAGGAUAUGAUGUCAGAGGUUCCUGAUGUACACAUGGUGGUUGUGGAGAGGGAGGA
This is a long non-coding RNA of Oncorhynchus nerka (sockeye salmon), 729 nucleotides long. RefSeq lists it as uncharacterized. The transcript is spliced from 2 exons. Lineage: Eukaryota; Metazoa; Chordata; Actinopteri; Salmoniformes; Salmonidae. The record is from RefSeq and is a predicted model, not a curated record.